RNAcentral lists this long non-coding RNA (812 nucleotides) under Homo sapiens (human). Its description in RNAcentral is "PREDICTED lncRNA (TCONS_00053727)". The record is from RNAcentral. Lineage: Eukaryota; Metazoa; Chordata; Mammalia; Primates; Hominidae.
UCUUAACAACCCACCAGAAGAAGCACCAAGAAAACCUAGCAUAUUUCCUAAGACAGUGAAAACUGAGCCCCUUCUGGCCUAAAAAUAAAUAUUAAAUAAAGAAAAAAGAAAAAAAAAUAGGGCAAAUGAAAAAGGAAGACAAUGUCCAGAUCAAAGAGUUAAAUAUGGACACAAGAAAUGCAAGCAGCUGUAAAGUGAAAGAUCAAGAACCACUCUGAGGGCUCAGAAGUAGAAACUAGUGAACUCCAAAAGCAACCCUCAAAGAAAAACAAAAAAGCAAGAAAGAUUUUAAGUAUCCAACUUACCUGAGUCAAAAAAGGGAAGAAGAAAAGAAGUAGCUCUGAAGAUGUAGAAUGCCUCGCUCCCAGAGCAAAAGUAAAGAAAAUCACUCAGAAAGACAACAUUAAAAAAAGAAGCCUCAGAAGUUUCCAAAGAAAACACAACUUAGAAGUCCUUGAAGAACAAAAGGAUGCUGGAAAUAUAAAAGAUGGUUCUCCCUUAAAACUAAAAAGGAUUCAUAAGACAAAAGAUAAAGAGAGACAUAAAAUUGGAGAAGAGGUUAUAUUGAGAGUACUAUCAAAGAGAAGCCAUGCCACAAAUAGUUUUAAGCAAGAAAAUAAAGUCUGCCAACAACCACGAGCAUGAGCUUGGAAGCAGAUCCUCCAUCCUGGUCAAGUCUUCAGAGACUACACAUCCGGGCCAAUUGUGUGACUGCAGCCUCACAAGAAACCCUGAUCCAGAGCCACUCAGCUAAGCUGCUCCCAAAUUCCUGACUCUCAGAAACUGAGAUAAUAAAUGCUUGUUGUCUUCAA